UACGUAGGGGGCAAGCGUUGUCCGGAAUCAUUGGGCGUAAGGAGCGUGUAGGCGGCUCGAUAAGUCCGCUGUGAAAGUCCAGGGCUCAACCCUGGAAGGCCGGUGGAAACUGUCGGGCUAGAGUCCGGAAGAGGCGAGUGGAAUUCCCGGUGUAGCGGUGAAAUGCGCAGAUAUCGGGAGGAACACCAAUGGCGAAGGCAGCUCGCUGGGACGGUACUGACGCUGAGACGCGAAAGCGUGGGGAGCAAACAGG
RNAcentral lists this ribosomal RNA (253 nucleotides) under uncultured bacterium. Its description in RNAcentral is "partial 16S ribosomal RNA". It matches the Rfam family "Bacterial small subunit ribosomal RNA", at positions 524 to 776 of the family's 1533-position model. The record is from RNAcentral.